AACCAUAGAAACCUGCGGAGUACCUGCGGAGGGAUCAUUACCGAGUUUACAACUCCCAAACCCCUGUGAACAUACCAAUUGUUGCCUCGGCGGAUCAGCCCGCUCCCGGUAAAACGGGACGGCCCGCCAGAGGACCCCUAAACUCUGUUUCUAUAUGUAACUUCUGAGUAAAACCAUAAAUAAAUCAAAACUUUCAACAAUGGAUCU
Molecule: unclassified non-coding RNA, 207 nt
Filed under: soil metagenome
Description: partial contains 5.8S ribosomal RNA, internal transcribed spacer 2, and large subunit ribosomal RNA
Source: RNAcentral